Non-coding RNA from Petromyzon marinus (sea lamprey), 343 nucleotides. NCBI's taxonomy places the organism in Eukaryota, Metazoa, Chordata, Hyperoartia, Petromyzontiformes, Petromyzontidae. The record is from RefSeq and is a predicted model, not a curated record.
ACUCCACCAACCCACACGACGACUCUGAACACUCCACGCCAACUUCCCAGCCUGCAAAGUCGCUCACCGGCAUCGAGAGGAGGUCGCGAAUCGCCCGAGGAAAUGAAAAUGUGGAUUAAUGUACUGGUCAUCUGCAUUGUGGCCGCGGCCAGUGCCCAGCAGCAGCCGCUGCCCGUGGAGGAGCUGCAGGGCCCGGGGCCCCUAAACGAGGGGGUCAGCUCGCCGGCGAAGGAGAGCGCGGAGCCCCAGGGGCAGUAUCCCUACCUGGAGGUGCCCUCCUCCCAGUGGCCCUUCUACCCCGUGCUGCCGCAGUUCGAAAGUGAGUCAUCAUCAUCGUCAUCAU